This 113-nucleotide ribosomal RNA is filed under the name Abditibacteriaceae bacterium. Lineage: Bacteria; Pseudomonadati; Abditibacteriota; Abditibacteriia; Abditibacteriales; Abditibacteriaceae. The record is from RNAcentral.
GUGGUCACAGUGAGGGGGAGACACCCGUUCCCAUUCCGAACACGGCAGUUAAGCCCCUCCACGCCGAUGAUACUGCCUGGGCGACUGGGUGGGAAAGUAGGUCGCCGCCGUAU